GUGAAAUUAUGUCAGAUGAACCUGGGGUGAGUGGAUUGCCGGUGUGUUCUCUGUCCCCCUCCCGCAGAGAGGAAGGAGAAUUGGAUUUGGACUCAGUUCACAUGUUGCUGCGUAGCUUCCAGCAAGAGCUCAGGGACACAGAGAGAGAGCGGGAUGAGGCACAAGCACAAGAUGAGGCGGUUCAGCGUGGGGAGUUACAGAAUAGGAUUAUGAGUGAAGAGCUGGCCAAAAUGAAGAACAGCCAACAGAUAACUGAGGCAGAGGCCAAAGCACUGCAGGAGAAGCUGGAGUGCUACCAGACCUCUGAGGAAAGUCUCGAAGUUGAGCGUCGCCGUAUGAAGGAGACCUGUGAGGCCACGGAAGCUCGAGCUGCCAAGCUGGAACUCACACGCUGGGGGUUGGGGGGAGAGCUGCAGCAUGCCCAGCUCUGA
Cyprinus carpio (common carp) is the source of this 431-nucleotide long non-coding RNA. Lineage: Eukaryota; Metazoa; Chordata; Actinopteri; Cypriniformes; Cyprinidae. The record is from Ensembl.